RNAcentral lists this ribosomal RNA (746 nucleotides) under alpha proteobacterium SCGC AAA015-L07. RNAcentral describes it as "SSU rRNA". It matches the Rfam family "Bacterial small subunit ribosomal RNA", at positions 84 to 867 of the family's 1533-position model. Lineage: Bacteria; Pseudomonadati; Pseudomonadota; Alphaproteobacteria. The record is from RNAcentral.
AGCAAUACUUAGUGGCAGACGGGUGAGUAACAUGUAGGUAUCUACCCUUUGGCCUGGAAUAACACGAGGAAACUUGUGCUAAUACUGGAUAAGUCUUUACGGAGAAAGCUUUAUGCACCAUUGGAUGAGCCUGCACUUGAUUAGUUUGUUGGUGGGGUAAUGGCCUACCAAGACUGUGAUCAAUAGCUGAUUUGAGAGGAUGAUCAGCCACAUUGGGACUGAGACACGGCCCAAACUCCUACGGGAGGCAGCAGUGGGGAAUCUUGCACAAUGGAGGAAACUCUGAUGCAGCGAUGCCGCGUGAGUGAAGAAGGCCCUUGGGUUGUAAAGCUCUUUCGUCGGGGAAGAAAAUGACUGUACCCGAAUAAGAAGGUCCGGCUAACUUCGUGCCAGCAGCCGCGGUAAUACGAAGGGACCUAGCGUAGUUCGGAAUUACUGGGCUUAAAGAGUUCGUAGGUGGUUGAAAAAGUUAGUGGUGAAAUCCCAGAGCUUAACUCUGGAACUGCCAUUAAAACUUUUCAGCUAGAGUAUGAUAGAGGAAAGCAGAAUUUCUAGUGUAGAGGUGAAAUUCGUAGAUAUUAGAAAGAAUACCGAUUGCGAAGGCAGCUUUCUGGAUCAUAACUGACACUGAGGAACGAAAGCAUGGGUAGCGAAGAGGAUUAGAUACCCUCGUAGUCCAUGCCGUAAACGAUGUGUGUUAGACGUUGGAAAUUUAUUUUCAGUGUCGCAGCGAAAGCGAUAAACAC